RNAcentral lists this ribosomal RNA (497 nucleotides) under uncultured bacterium. Its description in RNAcentral is "partial 16S ribosomal RNA". It matches the Rfam family "Bacterial small subunit ribosomal RNA", at positions 28 to 507 of the family's 1533-position model. The record is from RNAcentral.
GAUGAACGCUGGCGGCGUGCCUAAUACAUGCAAGUCGAGCGAACGGACGAGAACCUUGCUUCUCUGAUGUUAGCGGCGGACGGGUGAGUAACACGUGGAUAACCUACCUAUAAGACUGGGAUAACUUCGGGAACCCGGAGCUAAUACCGGAUGAUAUUUUGAACCGCAUGGUUCAAAAGUGAAAGACGGUCUUGCUGUCACUUAUAGAUGGAUCCGCGCUGCAUUAGCUAGUUGGUAAGGUAACGGCUUACCAAGGCAACGAUGCAUAGCCGACCUGAGAGGGCGAUCGGCCACACUGGAACUGAGACACGGUCCAGACUCCUACGGGAGGCAGCAGUAGGGAAUCUUCCGCAAUGGGCGAAAGCCUGACGGAGCAACGCCGCGUGAGUGAUGAAGGUCUUCGGAUCGUAAAACUCUGUUAUUAGGGAAGAACAUAUGUGUAAGUAUCUGUGCACAUCUUGACGGUACCGAAUCAGAAAGCCACGGCUAACUACGUG